UACAGAGGGGGCAAGCGUUGUUCGGAAUUACUGGGCGUAAAGGGCGUGUAGGUGGUUUCGUAAGUCUGGCGUGAAAUUUUUCGGCUUAACCGGGAAAGGUCGUCGGAUACUGCGGAACUAGAGGACGGUAGAGGCGUGUGGAAUUCCGGGUGUAGUGGUGAAAUGCGUAGAGAUCCGGAGGAACACCAGUGGCGAAGGCGACACGCUGGGCCGUACCUGACACUGAUGCGCGACAGCAUGGGGAGCAAACAGG
Molecule: ribosomal RNA, 253 nt
Filed under: uncultured bacterium
Lineage: Bacteria
Description: partial 16S ribosomal RNA
Rfam family: Bacterial small subunit ribosomal RNA
Source: RNAcentral